GACUUCAAAGAAGAAGAAAAGCAGUGAUCUCAAAUACGACAUAUUUGGAUGGGUAAUCCUGGCUGUCGGCAUUGUUGCAUGGGUUGGAUUUGCAAAAUCCCAUAUGCCUACCCCUCCCCCAACCCCUCCGAGAUAAGUGGGAGGAACAUGCGAUAAGUGGGAGGAACAUGGUUUUGUUCGUGCCUCAGGCACUUUGAGAUUUCAGUAUCCACACAGUCCCAUUGAGCCGUCUGAUUCUAGGAGAAUUGAGAAUUUUCCGUGCUGUAUGCCUGUACCGAUCCUUUUAGUUAUUAUUUUAGUUAUUUUCUCUGUGUAAACCGUUAUGAAUAAGUGUUACUAUAUCUAUAUCUAUCUGUUAUAUGGAAAUCAUUGAAAUGUUCUUAGUUAUUUCGGAAAAGCUGUAUUUGUUUUAAGCAUCGACUGCAUUUUUUUAUUCGGCAUCCAUCCACUCACUGACUCACGUCGUCAAAUAUAUUGAGUGUUAAAAUCUUAAAGGCUGUGUUUGGCACAUUGUAUUGUAUUAUGUUGUAUUGUAUUAGCACUGUAUUAUAAUAAUAUUGUACAAUGCUUGGUGCUACACUGUAUUGUAUUAAUUUUUUUAUGAUUAAUUUAAAUUAUAUAUUUUAUUAUAUUAAUAUUUAUAUUAUUAUUAAUUUUAAAUUAAUAUUUAUAAAAAUAAAAUAAAAUAUUAUAUAAUAUCAUAUUAAAUUAAAAAGUUAUAUUAUUUAUUAUUAUUAUUAUAAACAAAAAUAAAAGCAAAAAGCAAACGCAAAGGAAAAAAAAAAAAAGCAAGCUGCAAACGCAAAACAAGGAAAAGAAAAAAAAAAAAAAACAAGCUAAUGCGGUAAACUGCUGCAUUACUUAAACCCGACUUUACUUAAACCCGACUCACAGUUGGGUUUAGCUAAUGCGGCAGUUUCUGCAUUAGCACAUUUACUUUAACCCAUUCCUAUGUUCUUCCAAACAUAAUACUAAUAUUAAUUUAAUGUAAACACUAUUUUAAUAUAUUAUAAUAUCAUGCACCAAACACACUCAAAGGUUAUUGUUUACCUAUGUAUUAUUAUUAUUUCAUUUGAAUGCAAUUAUUUAUUUUUGAAGAAUAAUAAAAUAGAAAAAUGCAUUUGAUGGAUUUUCAUCUAGAAAAUUGUGUUUUUUUUUAAUCGAUUUAAAAUAUUAAAAAUGAAUGAUGGAAGCUUUUCUAGUUAUUAAAAAAUGAACUUGCUAUGCGACGUCGUUUAGGCAUUGACAAGUCACAAGUGACACUGGCGUGGCGAGUCCAGCGACUAGGAAGAGAGAACACGAAGGUUCACGUUGAUCUCUGGGUGAGGGUGACGUGGCACAAAAAACAAAAAACUGAAAAACUGAAAAGCAAAGGGAGCUCGCUCUUUCUCGCAGUCUCUCUUUCGUUGAGACUCUGAGCUGAAGAAAAUGGCAGGAGCCAAGUUGUGCGGUGGCGAUACAGCAUUCCUGCUACGCUCGCACUCGCACUCGCACUCGCACUUCCUUGAAGCAGCAACACGCCGAGCCGCGCCGUUCCCAGGCCGAGUCUCCUCCGUCUCUCCCAAUCCCAAACCCUCUCGUUACCGAAUCUUAGCCAUGACUGUUAAAAGAAGCCCUAAGCGCCUUAAAUACUCCGCUCCACAGUUCACCAAGGUCGUCUUCUCUCUCUUCUCUCUCGCUCUUCUCUUUUUAGUUUCUUUUAUUAAUUGAUUAUCAUUAUUAGUCUAAAAAUUAGCUUGCGGACUGCAAUGUGCGUCAUUGCUUGCAUGAGUGAAUAAACGUGUAAAACUAAAACCCUAGUGUGUUGUUGUUGUACUGUCUACUGAGAAAUAGUAGAGACUGCCUUAUUACAUGCACCUGUAUGGUACAAUCCUUGUAAAACUUUUUGUUACUAAGGUAAUGAUUUAUUGUGUGGGUAAUGAUUACAGCCAGAACACUGGGCGGAAUUAAUGAAAUUAUUUCUGGUUCCAUAAUUAAUAGGUUCUGUAUAGGAGUUCAGUAUGACUUUUUAUUGACUUGAGCGUUGAAUGAUGCUUUUUCUUUCAUAAUAAUAUUAGGAAGGCGGAUUGAUGUAUGUUGAAGCUGACCCAUCGGGAGCUGACAGUUGGAAAUUGGAGCCAGUUGUUGAACUUUUGAAAGAAGGAGCUGUGGGGGUCAUUCCUACUGACACUCUGUAUGCCACUGCCAUUUGCCUCAGCCGCUCUGUUAGUUACUUUAAAGCUGUGUUUGAUAUCAUUGUACUUUGUAUAUCAGGGUAGUCACUGGUGAAGGUUGGGAAGCUAUAGUUGUAAAUUUAUAUUUCCGCAUGCUGCGAUUGUGGGUUAUUUUGACUUUUGAGCAAGUUACAUGCAUCAUGAUGAGCUUGUAGGCUAGUUGUUGAUUUAUAAAGAGGAUCGCGCACCGUCAGAAAGACUGAAAAUUGACUUUUUCGAAUCCUGAAAUUAUUUAAACUUCUGUUAUAAAUUCAUCACCAUUGUGGUUCCUACCAGAAAUUACAUUAUCCGGUGCUUAGUGGGUGUAUUAGAGGAAAGGAGAUAAAAGAAAGUAGUUCUUCAAGUUUACAUCCCUAUGUUGGUUGGCUUGAUUGGAGGUUUUUUGUGUUCUUUGGUUCAAAAUAAUGAAUUGCCAUCCCUCACGACUUCAAUAUGUUGUGAAUUAAGAUAUUAAAUCAGCCCUUCACUGUGCAAUAACAUUACUGGAUUGAAAUAUUCAAUUGUGAUCCUUUUUUAUUUUUUUCCCUGAACUCUGAAAGGAUGUCAAUUGUUCCUAUGUUCUCAGGUAUGCAAUAGUUUGCGAUUUGAAGAGCCAUUCAGCGAUUGAACGUCUUCGUAGGUAAUUGAUGUUGUUUUUCUUGUACAAACUUCAUUUCUAUCUUGCUUGGUGAACCUCUCUUAUUUUUUCCAAUUGCAGGAUAAAAAAUGUAGAACCUUCUAAGGUAAGGAAGAUUGCUUCUCGUCCGUUACCUUAUUAGUUUAAUCUCUACUCCCUUUAUGAAUGUUAAGAUAUUUUUUCAAUUUUCAUUAUCUGGAGGUUGAUGCAGAAAGCAUAGUGUGAGAAAUUUGUUUGAUUGGGAUGAAGUUUUGGGUUAAUUUUGUUAGCUUGGAUUUUCCUGUGUCUCAGGUUUCAAGAGUUUCUUUUUUCAAAGUUUUGUAUAGCUUUUGGUGUUCUACUCUGUAGAGAAGGUUUUAGUUUGUGGACCUCUGGUUCACUUUUGUAAUAUUUAUUCCCUUCUAAGAUUCUAUAAAAGUUUCUCUGUUUCCUAUAAAAAAAAAGGGAAAUUUGUUUGCCCUAAUCCCCUUUAUAUUCAAUUUUUUAACUAUCCUUUGCAAUUUUGAUGCCGUCUCCUAAUUUUUGCAGCCUUUAAGUAUCUUAUGCCGGUCUCUCCGUGAUAUAGACACCUAUACAACUGGUUUCCCUCGUGGUGAUGGCCAAGGACAUGCAAAUAUCUUUCGAGCUGUUAAGCAUUGCUUACCUGGGCCUGUAAGAAUAUCUCCUUUACCCAUUGUUAUGGCUAGCAACAAACUCUAAGGUCUCCAUCAAUGUCAUUGUUGAGCUUGUAUAACAGCUAUGCAUUAUUGUAUGUGGAGAAUAUAAGGGAGGCUGAAGCAGGAGCCACCAUACAAUGCCUUUUCGCAUGCAUUGCUUCUAAUGUUUGUGAUAUUUUCAUCAUAACAUUAUGUUGAUGGAUUGAGACUUCAUAGUGGAUAUUUAAAGGGGGAAAAAGGUAUAAAAAAAAUGAAUUUCUAUUAUCAAUUGAUCAUCUUAAGAAUUUUUGGCCAAGGACAGUUUUGUUUCCCGGCUAACUCUGUUCAGAGUUUCUUAUCUUCACAUCUUUUGUCAAAUUUAUGAUCCUAUUGUAAUUGAAAGUCGUUUGUACUGUGCUUUUGUGGGUACCUUGGUCUCCUUCUGUUUAGAUGGAAUUUAUCCUGACAAAGUGUCUAUGGAACAGUAUACCUUUAUUUUAACUGCCAGCAAAGAAGUGCCUAAAAAGUGUGUAAGAUAUGGGACUACGACAGCCAAAUAUUCUUUGAGAAAACAUGUGGGUGUCCGUAUCCCUAAUGAUGCCAUAUGCCAAGCAAUACUACAAAAGAUGGAUGCUCCAUUAAUCUCCACAAGGUUGGUUUGGUUUAUAAAUACCAACUUUUGCUAUAAGAAAAGAAACAGUUACAGGAAAACGGGUUUACCUUAUAUUUUUCUCCCUCCCUUCUUCUCAUUCUUUUAGUUACUGAUGCAAACAAUUCUGAUGAGACAAGUCCUUUCCCAUAAGUGACAACUUUGCUGGUUAAACACACUGUAGAUGCUGCUUUUGUAUCUUUGCUAUAAUUAUGAUCCUAAACUGAACUUUUGAUUUUUGUACCAGUGUGAAGUGGCUAAAGGAUAAUGAAUGGAUGGUAGAUCCAGUUGUGAUAGCUGAUACCUAUGGACCAGAGGUAUGGUUUUGAUUAAUGAGAAGAAAUUUGUAUUUCUCAAAUAAAAAAUUGACCAGAUUUCUAUUCAAGGAUAUUUACUAUAGUUAACUCAAGACCAACUUAUAUGCAAUGCUGGGGGUCUAUCUGUCUUGUUCUUGCUUUUAAUAGUGUAUUUUUCUCCUUUUAGGGCCUUGAUUUUGUUGUUGAUGGUGGUGUAAGAGUGGCUGAACCUUCCACUGUAGUUGACAUGACUGGGACUUCUCCAAAAAUCAUACGGCAAGGAAAGGUAUUCAUUGUUUCAUUUGAUCUAUGUGGGUCAACUUCUGUGAAUUAUUGGAAAACAAUACUAAGGAAUAUGUUGAUACUUAUGUUUUCUCUGUGAAUUGGGGAAUUCAGGGACCUAAACUAUACUGGAUGGAAGAGGAAGAUGCUAAUUCAACAGCAAUUGAAGAUCUAAUCCCUUCGGCUACCUAAAAAUACCAUGCAUCUUGACAUAAGCCUGUACAUAAUAAUGGUUCAUCUGCUUUCAGGGUUGAAUUACCACUUUUCUACAUUGGCAUUCCGGUUUUGGGUUGGAGAACUACCAUGACCCUGCAUACCGAAUACCAAUAUGCAUGUUUUGUAAAUGUCUGGUCAAGAAAAGCUACACUGGAGAAAGUUUUGGUAAAGCUAAAGUACGUAGGCCAGUUAGAACUUACAGUAAAUGUUGUGCAUACUCUGGCGCUUAGAUAAAAUGGCCUGGAAGCUAAUCAAAUUUGACCGUGAAGCUUUUGUUAAGUUGAUGAAUAUCAUUGGUGGUUAUUAACUAACUUGUUUUAUUUUCUCCGAUGAGCUUGCGAGUACCAACGCCAUGUCCAGAUGGAGAUCCGUGUAAUAAAUUAGAAGAUAGAAACACGGGAAAGAGACCGAAUCUUGAGAGGACCGCUUGUUUCACCCAUAAUCAAAUUGAUUUCAUGGUUGUCACUUGUUACAGAUUCAGGGCGAAUGGUAAUGUAAAAGAGAAGAAUUUUAGAAUACAUUAGGGGUAAUAUAAUUAAUUAAUGCACGUAUAAUAUGUAUAAUUACAUUUAUUACAAUUAAAAUUUACGUGAUAGUUUUGGAAAAUUGAUAUACACAUGUUAUAGUAUAUUUGUUUUUUGUAUUAUUUAUAUGAUAUUUUUGAUGUAUUAUAAAAUUUAUUCAAAGCUGAUGGUCCUUAGUACCAAAAGGGCACAGGACUCCCAUUUCUCUCCUCUCCUCAAUCCUCAUCAAAUUGACUGUUCCCUGGAGUACGUGGGAAGCAAUAAAUUUUCCUAAACCGUAAGAAUUAUGUUGCCGGGGAUUUAGCAAUUAAAGUCAUAAAUAACAAAUUAAGAAAUUAAGCAGUAAGGGCCGCAUGUUGCUGAAUAAUCUUGGCAAAGGCAUAUCAACUUGCAUUUUAUACACUGAAUUACUUGCUGUCAUCGCUACAUUCGGAGCAAAAAAAUUAACACAUUUUGGUGUCUGAUGCUUUGUUCAUGGCAUUGACAGCGAGUCUUUAAUGCCAAAACCCUAAAUCUGAAAUCAUCUCUGGGGAUUCAUCUUGUUUGGAAAAUUUCGCAAGAAGUUGAGCAAUAAUGCAGCGACAGCAAGACUUCACAAUAAAUAAAUAAUUAAAGACAAGAAAACAUCACAAUAAAUAAUAAGGAUCUAGAGCUGGCCAGUGGUGGUUAAUGAGGGACGUGAACUACUUUAAAUAAGCAGUUAUGACACUGACAACUAUAAACAACAAUAGCCGUGGCGGUAGUUGGUAUUAGCUCUUUUUGUAGUUGCUGGACUUAAAAGCCAUGGAGAAGAGCAAUACUAGAUACAAACCCUUUCAAGCUUCACUUCUCGUGGUUCCCAGCAAAGCUAUUAAAAGUUCAUCUUCUUGGUUUCUGCUUAAAUGUGAAGUACUUUCAAGUUCCUGCAAUGGGGUGGUUCAAGUUUCUUAAACUAAGUGGUUGCCUUGCAAUGAUGGUGAUGGUUGGAGCAUUAAACUCGGCUGAUUCAACAGUUUUAAUUCAUUUUGAUCGAGCUCCCCCGGCACGGUCAAGGUUCUCUACUGCUGUUUUUCAGUUCUCAGUUAAAAGGCCCGAUGGUUCUGAUGCUUGUCAAAACAACGAGUGUUCUGUUCAUUAUCAGGUAUCAGUUCUCUUCAUCGUUCAACUUUUCCCUUUUCUUGUCAUGCUCAAUUUUGCAAUAUUUAGCAAUGUGGGUAAUCUUAAAGUGUUUUAUUUUUUUAUUUUUUUUUAAAAGGUAAAGGGGUAAGAUGAACCCAAAUAAUUUUUAUUUUCUCCUCACCUUGAACUCGGGUGGUGAGCAGCUACAAACUUUAUGCUAUUACCAAUCCGACCAUGCCCUUGGGGACAGUGUUUUAUUUAUUAAUCCGGAGCUAAAAUUUUUUUUGAGACAAUUGCCAUCAAGUUCUUUAUUGUCCUCUAAAAAUUCCUUGGUCAGCAAAUGUCAACGUAAUGAUCGGCUGCUAUGAGAUAUAUUCACUUCGUUUAGGUCUACUGCUUUGACUUCAGAUAUGUAACUAAAUUGUGCAGCUUGAUGACCAAAUUUUGAGGCCUUGUCCUACUGAUGUUGUCGUGCUGAAAAACUUAACACUAAAUGGUCAGCAUGAUUUUCUUCUCAAUGUGACAACCAGCAGUGGAGAAAGAAACUCAUCAUCUUAUUCAUGGUUCAUUGGUAAGUAUACCUGUCCUCAGUGCAUUUUUUUUCCAUUGGGUGACCAGUUUACUCUCUCUGGGUUCAUAUAACAACUUCAAUGUGUCUGUUAAUGCAGCAGGUGAUUAAUCUCAGGGCAUGGAAAGAGAACUAUAUGUAGACUUAGAAUUUUGAUUCUAAAAUUUUAUGUUUUAAGUUCUUACUUCUUGUUGGUGUUCAUAUUUUUCUACAAGAUACCCUUCCACCGACUGCAACAAUUUUAAGCAAACAGAAUUACACGAAUGCGGAGAAAAUAACAAUUGACAUUAAAUUCAGUGAAGCUUGCACUGGAAAAGGUGGUUUCACAUGUGUGAACUCGUCAAACUGUAAUGUGAGUAGUUCUUGUGCUCAUAACUUAGUAUUUCACAAUUGGGAAAAUAUUCACCGUGCACCCGUUUUUUGCAACUUUUUCAAAAAUACAUAUAUAUAUUUUUUUUUUGUUGGAAUCCACCUAAAGUUAUAUUUUAUUUUAUUUUUCCACUUCCGUUUGGAAUCCGUUAAGAAAACUUACGGAAACUUAAAAAAAUGACCAUUUUACCUCUCAAAACGAAAAUUAUUAUUUCACCUCAAAAAUUACCAAAAAUAAUCAGAUUAAAUCUAAUUAUUUUUCCCAUAGGUCAAUAAAGAAAUUAAUUCCACAACCAUCAAAUACAAGUUUUUUUUUUUAAAUAUGUCUGUAAUUAGAAUGCUAAAUUAUAGCAGUAGUAUUAAAAAUAGUUAAAUCUCGCAAAUCAUCAAUUGAAUUUAAGAUAAGUAGAGUUUUAUUAUUCAUUAAGUUAUAAUCUCUAGUAGUUAAGAUUUUUUUGUACUUCAUUAAUGUACCAAUAAUGAUAUUCAUUAUUAAAUCUGAUUAUUUUUGGCAUUUUUAGGGUGAAAUUGUAAUUUUCGUUUUGGGGGUAAAAUGAUCAUUUUUUUAAGUUUCCGUUAGUUUUCUUAACGGAUUCCAAACGGAAGUGGAAAAGUGAAACAAAAUGUAACUUUAGGUAGAUUCCAUCUAAAAAAAGAAGGAAUUGUGUAUUUUUAAAAAAGUUAUAAAAAAUAAGUGAACUGUGGAUAUUUUCCCUUCAAAAUAAAUCAUGCUAGUUGCCAGCAGAAUGCUCUGUAUCUACGAAAGAGUUCUUAUGUGUAGCAUGAAGAUUACAUGAAUUCUGAUGUUUAUUUUUAAUAUAACUAUUUUCCUUCGUAGGUCAUCAUAGAUGGCCCAGCACAUGUACAGGAAUCUUCACUUCGAAUCACUGAACCAAAUAUCAGAUAUAGCCUUGAUAUAAUUCUUUCCUCGGGAAGUAUAUAUGGGCGUGUGGUAAUUGGAAUGGCAGAUAAGUUUUGUACAGAUAUAGCAGGGAAUGCUUUUACAAGGACAAAUGGUUCCAUCAUAGUCAUUCGCUUUGGUAAGGCAUUGGACACCAUUUUAACCUAUUGAGAAUACAAAAUCAGUUUAUCAAAUCUAGGAUGUUCAUAAUCAAAUCUGAUCCGCUCAAAUCAUUUGAUUCGUAAAAAAUUAAUUUGUAAAAAUCAAAUAUUUGAAUUGGUAAAUUAGAUUAGAUUGAGAAUUUGAAAAUUCGCAAUCGAUGGAUCGAAACACGGAUUUACUUUUGUAAAUUUAUAAAAAUCCGCAAAUCAACCAAAAAAAUAAAAAUUAUUUCUUUAAUUAAAAAAAUAAAACUUGUAGAUGUUUAACUUUUGUAGAGAUUUAAAUUUAUAAUUUUAGUUAAUUUUCAUGUGCUGAUUUUAAUAAAUGAGAUUUGUCUUAUUCGAUGUGUUAUAUUUUGAAACAAUGUAUUAUUCUACCUUUAUUUAAACAAUUAAUUUAUUUUAAUCUUAUUUAAUUUUGAAUUUAAUCGAUAGUAAAAUUAUUUCAUAUUAAAUUUGCUUUAUUUAAUAGUUUGUGGAUUAGAUAGAAUUAAAAAAACUUUAAUCUUUAAACCAACCUGUAAACUAGUGAAUUGAAUAUGUAAACUAGUGAAUUGAAUAUGAAAUGGGUCAAAUUUAUAUCCCAUCCAUAAAUUAAAUUUGGAUUAAAUUUUAACAAUUCAAAAAUUAGAUUAAAUUGAAUUAAAAAUUUAUAAUAUAUAAAAUAGUGGAUCAUAUAUGAAUUUACGACGAAUCCUUGAAAUCCAAACCACAACACCCCUAAUUAAAUCAUAUUUCAUUUGGUUAAUUCUAUUACUCUUGCCUGAAUCUUUGACAUAGAUAGAAGACCCGUGCUGGUUGAUUUAUGGGUGUCCAUUCCAGCAUACGAGUUGGAAUUCAAUGGUGUCUCUAGAACUGUCCUUGCCUCUAAUAAAUUGGAGGACGUGAAAAUUUUCUUGGACUUCAGCAUUCCCAUCAUGAAUUCAACAGAACAGAUCCUAGAUAUUUUUCGAUUGAAUUCUGGUAACUUGAUAGCUGUUCACGGUAGGAGGCGGGUGAAUCGCCGGUUUGUAUUUAAAGUAAGCGCUAAUUAUUAUUAUUUUCUUAUAUAUAUAUAUAUAUAUAUAUGGUAGUUUUUUGAUUUGGGAUCUUAAAAUGCAGAAAAAAGUCCGGAAAAGAUUUAAAACCGUAAAGUUUUGAAGUCUUAAAAUUUAAAGCGCUUAAAACGCAGGAUUUAUGUGUUUUUUAAGACUUUACCGUACUUUAAAAUUUUAGAUUGAAACAUUUUUAUAUUUAUAUACACACGCGUAAUUUUUAUUAUGGGUGCCACUUUCUCUGAGUCAAAUGAAUAAUGUAAUACAAAUUCUUUUCGUUUUGUAGCUCAAAGAUAUACCACAAACUGAAAUUAUCACACUUGCAUUACAAGCGAGCUUUCUUUUAGGCAUAACAGGAACCCCUGUCUCACCUGUUCCCUCGCUUAUAUUCCUCUAUGGUAUGCUAGUCAGCACUUUUCCCUCUUCAGAACAGUUCCUGUAAUUCCUUUUUUGUCGCUUACCAUGGAGCUAAAUGAUGGAUUUUCCUCUAAGAUUCCACUAAACCUGGGGUAGGGCUGAGUACCAGCUCACCGAGCAUUACAAAAGAUCCGAACAUCAAAGUGAUAGUUGAGUUCUCUAAGCCAGUUUUUGGAUUUGAGUCUUCCAUGGUAGACGUGGACGGUGGGAGUCUUAAAAGGCAGGUGCAUAAAAUGAUUACUAAACUAUUGAUCUCCUGUAUUUACAAUGAAUCAUGUCGUAGCUACUUAUGUUGUUAAGUUAGGAGUACAUAGAACGUUAAUGGAAAAUAUGUGACAUUUUACCUUUUGCUCCAUGCAGUUUUAAGGAACUUUCAAGGGCUCUAUACUCUUUGACUGUUCAGGCAUUAACUCAGCAUGUAGUUAGAAUUUCUAUUCCUGAGAAUAAAGUCCGUGACAUAUCAGGAAACCUAAAUUUGGCUUCUAACGUACUUGAAGUGAAGCAUUGUAAGAAUAACUCUCCUGAUAUUUCUAUGCUGCUUGUUACUUUGCAUUUAAUCAGAGAUAUGUAGAUCUUUUGGAUUGAAAAUUCUUUGGAGUUUUGUUUAAUGCAGCAAGCCAAGUCUUUGGAGAAAAAUUUUCUUUCAAACACCACGUUUUCUUUCUAUAGAUAUUUGGUAUCUAUGCUUUCAAUACUAUUCUCUACUUAAGACUUGAAGUUGCUCAGAUUCAACCCCUGCAAUGUCAACUGCACUACACUCGUUUGUGACUGCGGGUAUGUUAGCAACAUCACUGGCCGCUGCUAUUCUAUCAAUUUCCUCUGCAAACCUUGGAAUACUAGGCACUCUCAAUUCCGGGAGUACUGAUUUUGUUGCCUCUAAUCCAUCAAUGAACCUGCAGGUUAUAAUGAAAAAAUUUCCAUGCAAUUAACUUUUAAAAAUUUAGAUUCUUGAUCACACAUUAUGUAUUCUCUUUGCAAUAAUUUUACUUUGGUUAAAAAUCUCGAACAUUUUCAUCACAGGGAAUGGUUGGACAUCUACAAGUUUUUGUUCUCUCAGACUGGUUCUUAGCUAACCAACCUAUUGAAUAUUCUGAGACAACUAAAGGUCUUAGGUGGCUCAUACCUCGUCAAAAACUUCCCUGGAGAAAUGAUAGUGCUUCAGUUUGGCCUAACCAUGUUUAUUUGGCAAAAGAGAGACUCACAGAACAGUUCAGAUAUCUGCCAAUUGGAUCCUCUCAUGAAGGAUCUUAUCAUCAGAUUGGCUUAAAUUUAACCAGCUCAUCUUGCAUUCGGUGUGAGCUACCUUUUCCAACUGUGACAAACCAGAAGUUUAGCUGGCCUGAUGGACGGUACAACGUAAGCAUUAAAAAUGCGCCUUAUGGACAAUUUCUCAAUUCCAGCGAAUAUUUCACUUAUUUCCUGGUUAGUAUUACUAAAUUCUAUAAAUUUUGUACUUUAAAGACAGCAUUGCAUUAACGAGUACAUUGAUUUUGUAUGUUAAUUAUUGUACAAAUGGUCAUGCAGAGAGGAGAGCCAAUAUCUGCUAGCAAUGUGGUCAAAAAAUUGGAUAACUAUACCGGGUAACUUUACAAUCAGCUGCUAAUAUAAUCAGCAUUUGGAUAAUUUCAAAUUUUGCGUUCACUACAAGUAAGAGUUAUUUAUCGGUAGUGGUUUGAAAUUCUCAUUAAAAUUGUUCCCUUGACAGAUGGCGAGACUUGGAGAUGAACUUGUUCUGGCUUGGUGUGGGAGGGGGCAGCUUACUUAUAGUCCAUUUUCUAACACUACUCUUCUUAAGGUGGAGGAUGGGGACUUCAGUGAAGGGGAUGCUUUCAGUUCCAAGGUUUGAGCUCCUUUUUGUAAUUCUUAUGCUACCUUGCAUCUCUCAGUCUUCAGCGUUUGUAAUCAGAGGUAAGAAAAUCAGAACAAUGAUUUCAUUUCGAUUAAACAUCCUCUUGGAUUCUAUGAACUGAAGGCUACAUCAAUUUUUCAGGUGGCACCACAGAGGGAAUAAUCACUGGGGCUUUAUUGUUGGCCAUCCCUGCAGCACUUAUUUUGUCAGUGCUUCUAUUUGUCAUAAUUGCAAUCUUUUUAGGCAGUUUUGUGCAAUAUAAAGAAAUCACCCAUGUGGCUACGAGUGAAAAGUGGCAUGUAAAACUAUGGUUUUUCUUCAUGGGAAGGCCUGCUACUGGAAAAUGGUUUUACAGGGAAGGGCUGCCUUCAAUUUUCUUCCCAAUCUUUGGGAUUCUGUUUGAGAAUCGAAAGGGGCCUCCAUUGUUAGUUUUUGCUGAAGAUAAUGAUCCUAACACCAUAACCAAGUGGACUGAAAGUGGGAGAAGUGGGAUUGGAAGAAUGAGAGCUAUCAGCUCAGAUGACAGCAAUGAAGAAGUGAGAAUUCGCACAUCCGUUAAGCUAUUGGGGUGUGCCAGGUCCUCCUAUAUUAUUCUUGACCUUUUGAGAAGAGUCAGUAUAGGGAUAAUAUCUGGGGCAUACCCAUCAAAUAAGUUAAGCCAAAGCCUUCUUGCUUUGGCCAUCACGCUUAUACAGUUCAUAAGUUUAUUUACUCUCAAGCCAUACAUCCAAAGAGGAGUCCACACAGUGGAAAGCGUUUCUCUUCUAUGUGAGGUGGGCAUCUUUGCUCUAUGCAUCAGAUUGAAUGGCUCAAAUCCAACUGAAGCAAAAACUCUGGGUUUUUUAAUGCUGGCUCUCCUGUUCCUCAUGUUUGUUGCUCAGAUAAUUAAUGAGUGGUAUGCUAUGAUAAAAGGCAUUUUAGGACUCUCUCAGCCCCAGAAAAAUUCUUUCAGACUCGGAUUGAAGUUUGUUGCUAAAGGCCUUGUGUUGCCUUUGCUACCAAGGAGGCACUGGUCAAGAGUCAUGCCUGGUUCGUCGCGACCGCUAACAGGCCUAGCUCCAGUCCUUCCUCAAAGCCCGGAAACUGAAUGUGGAAGAAGAGGUCCAGGAGGAUCUAAUGCUGACCCUUUUAGUGCCAUGACAGCAACAGUAGUCCCUGUGUCGAGUCCUGGCUCCCCAGGCCUUAAUGUUGCUCAAGCAGCUCGUUCAACACCUACAGACCUAACCCUAGCCCAGCAGAGAGCCAGAGAAGGGAAGCAGGCAAAGGGACUGAAGUUGGAGCCAAAGAGUGACCUGAAGAAGCUAAGAGAGUUGGCAAGAGCUAGUUUUUCUGGGGAUUCAAAGGGUGAGGAAACUAGUACCAGUUACGCAUUUAGGCAGCAAUCUGUUUCUGCUGAAACCUCUGUGGAAAAUUCUCAAGCCUCCACUUCCAAAUUCAAACAAUGAUGUUAAACACAAUGAGGCUAACCAAAAGGGACGGGACGCUAAGGUUCAACCAUUUUUUUUUGUUUUUUAGUUUGUGUAUUUAAAUGACCUGUAAGAUAGAUCUUCUGUAUAAAUUUUUCGCUUACAGAAAAUAGGAAAUGCAGAUUCCUUAUAGUUGGAUAAAGUAACUGAAAUUUUGAAAUUUAUGAAUGUUCAGAGUUCCCAGAAUGCUGCCUUGUUAUUCCAGCACAUGUUUCCCUAGUAGGAAACAGGUAAACUAGCCCUAUAUCUAACAGAUACUGAAAUAAAAUUGAACUCAGACUACAGUAUCCUCUAUAAAUGUUGCAAAUAUAAAGUAAUCAUUAGCCUAAAAACAGAUAUGAGAACUUGCUCUGAAGCUGAUCUUUUUUAUUAAUAGCAUUGGUUGAAUCAAACUCAACUAGGCUAAUGAAUUAAAAGUACAACUUAGAAACAGAAGCAUUGCUGUUAGCAUACAAUCGCCAAAUCAUCCAUCCAAAGUUUAAUACAGGGAAAACAAAGUUGAAGAAAUGCUGCAGAGAAGUGAACCAAAAGUUUCCGAUGGCCACCCAAAUUCAUCUUCCAUAAUCAGCUUGACUCUGAUAAUCAUCCCCAUUAAGUUCUGAGAAAGAGUCUCCAAUUAUCUUUUCGUCUAAUGGAGACACCGCGAGCAAACUGUCGAGGCCAUGCACAACAAGCCAAUUGCUGCUAUACAUAUCUGGAAAGACAACUGGGACACCAUUAAGCAAAAUCACAUCACCAGAGUAAGCCACAGUAAUCUUAAAUCCUUCUGAAGAAGUUGGCAACGUUGUCCCUCCAUCGAGCCUAAUCAGAUCCUGCCAACGAAGCAACCUGAGAACCACAUGUUGCUUAAAAAUCGAAACACAAUCAGUAAUGUUCUUCACAUAUGGCUCCAUUGCUGCAUCAACUGGUGCAAAGAUAGUCAAUCUUGUCUGAUUUGUAAACCUCGCUAAUUGCAUAUCAAGAAAGGUGGCCAUUAAGGUAUAGCCUCUUGAAUUUAACAAAUCUGAUGCCUCACCAAAAACAUCAACAUCAAAGCCAAUCGGUUCAAUUGGAGAAGGAACAGGACUCGGUGCAGGAGCUGAGUGAGGAGGGGGGCUAAUCAUGACCCCAAAUGAAGAAUUAAAGAACUCAUCUAUACCAUACACAACCAGUUCUUCUUGAUCAAACAUGGGUGAUUCUUGAAUCAAAACCCCAUUAAUGGACAAAUGGGCAUUGUUAAAAUCUGAAGCAGUAACGAUCAGUGAGUGAUUGGACAACAAUGUCGGUAAUCUUGAGCCAAAAGCAAGAGUCUUGAGGCUAUCUUGGGAGAGUCUUGAAGGUGAUAUGUGAUAUUGAAGCUGAGAAAGAGAGAGCUGGCCUGAUUGAGAAAAGGCAAAAUCUGAUGGGGAGAAAAUGGUGAGUGUUUUUGAUUCAAGAUUGAGUGUCUUGAAAGUGAUUUGAAGGGUCAGUGCCAUCGAUAAGUAGCCUGAGUUUGAGAGUGUUUCCACAGCAUUUGAUAGGGUUCCAGGAGAGACUGCAAGAGCAAUGGAGAUGAGAGAGAAGAUGAUGAGAGAGAAGAAGAGGGUAGUAGCCAUUGAAGAGUUGGUUUACGAUUUGUUGAGGGUUUGAAGAAGAACGUUCAAGGGCGGGAAAGGAAGAAGAAGCUGAUGCCUUAUUGGUUAAAGGUAGUUAUUUGAUAGGUUUAGUGCCAGCUGCCAAGAUUUAUCAAAAGAUCUUCAUGAUGUCUAAUUCCAUCCAAUGAGAUGCGAGUGGUGGGAAUGGGAUCCCGUAUGCGUGCUUCAAUUGGACCAAUAUUUUUAAAGAAAUAAUUUUAGGAAAAAAAAAGAAGAUAUUUAACCAAAAGGGCUACAAAGGUUUUAAUGUGUUUUUUUCCUUUAUUUUUUUAAAUUUAUGGUAAACCCACAUGAUUUUAACGUGUUCUUUAAUUAUUUUCCAAUUAACGAUAACCUCGCAACGUUUUAAUCUUGAUUCUAUCACUGCUCUGUAUAAUUCUUUUGGCUAAAAAGUGAAUCAAGUUCUAAGACUUAAUAUAAUAUAAAAUUUUUUGAAAGAAAAUAAUGUAAUACCGUCCAUUGUUAAUUAACAAAUAUUAAAUAUAUUUGAAACUGAAAUAAAUAUUAAAUAAAUUUUUUUGUAUUAUUUCACAUCUAAAAUUUUAUGCAUGAUACUAAAAUACAUCUCAAAAUUUAUUUUAAAAUAGUCAUCUUAAUUCGGGUGGCAAUCGUUAUAUGUGCAUGCCACUUAGUCAACUAAAUUUGACUAUUCAGUGCAUUUGAUUUGAUAUCUUUCAUAGAUAAAAGAAUAUAGUACUACUGCUACGAGUUAUUCUCUUGUACUUAUUUGGCUGACAAACGAGGGUUUAUUUGUUAAAUUUUUGAAAUCUGAAAUUUUAUAAUUUUAGAUCUUUUUUAAAUUUAUUUGUUUGUUUUUUGUAAUUUAUGAUUGAUUUUUAAAUAUUUACAUCUAAUUACAAAUAAAAACUCAUUUAAUAAAAAUUCAAAAACAUAUUUUAAAAUUUUAAUAUUUAUAAAUUACAACAUAAUUUUAAUUUAACUAAUCCCAUGGCCCCUCUUGAGAUAGCUUCCUUUACAAAUUUGAGAUUAUCCUAUAGGCCGAGGAUAAGUUAAUCUUAAUACUCUUAAUGGCACCAAACAUGUGAUUAGGAUGAAAAUAAUCCAAUCCCCUUUUUAAUCCUCUAACCAAACGCACCAUAAUAGUAAUAAUAUAAGGUCAGUGUAUAUAUAUCACAUUAUGCAAUAUUAGGUUCAACUAUGAUUUUACAGUUUAGGUAAGGGUUGGCAUUCGAUUCGAGGUGAACAAAUUGAACCCUGAAUCUAUUUCAAUUUUUAGUUCUGUUUGAUUUGAUCCCAAAAACUGAUUGGUUUGAAAAUAGAGAAUAAAACUCAACCGAACAACAAAUUUGAUUGAUUUACAUUAAAAAGAAAGAAGACAAACCCUAAAUGACUAAGAUUCAUUUGAUGUGCAAGAUAGGAGAAGAUACGAGAAGAUAGGAUGAGAUGAGAUAUGAUUAGAUUAGAUAUAAUAUUAUGUUGUGUUUGGUGUAGCUUAAGAUUGGACUAUUGCAUUUGGCAUGCCAUCAGAUUGUAUAGUCACUAAUAUGUUUUAUAUAUUAAUUUAAUCAAAAUUAUCUUAAAUUAAUUGUUUUAUCACAAUCUAAAAAAUAAAUUUGCCCUCUAUAAACAAGAAAGAAGACCUACACCCCCACUGUUUGAGAAAAUGGUCAUAUACACCUCCCAAAUUUUCAAUAAAGGACAUGAAGAUCACUUUUGACCAUAUAACAUUUUGGCUAGUAUUUCAGAGCACUAGAGAGCAGAAUGUUGGAGUGCUAGGCCCGAACUGGGAGGCUCUCUAUAAAAUAACAGAAAUUAUUCGUCCUGAAACUUAUAGGAUAAAAGAUAUGAGUGGAGUCUCCUUAAGUGACUUGACUGAGUUUGCUCCCCAGUUUGAGUCGCAGGGAAGUCGCCUUUGUUGGGAGAACCUGUGCCUCCCGGUUCGAGCAGGGGCUUCUAGUCUGAGUUGUGGUACGGGCUUAAAGGUGACUCCCACAAUUGAGACCAUCCCCAAG
RNAcentral lists this long non-coding RNA (16880 nucleotides) under Citrus sinensis (sweet orange). Its description in RNAcentral is "long non-coding RNA (CSIN_LNC000901)". The record is from RNAcentral. Lineage: Eukaryota; Viridiplantae; Streptophyta; Magnoliopsida; Sapindales; Rutaceae.